UGGGGGAUAUUGCACAAUGGGGGAAACCCUGAUGCAGCGACGCCGCGUGAAGGAAGAAGUGCCCCGGCAUGUAAACUUCUGUCAGCAGGGAAGAAAAUGACGGUACCUGACCAAGAAGCUCCGGCCAAAUACGUGCCAGCAGCCGCGGUAAUACGUAUGGAGCAAGCGUUGUCCGGAAUUACUGGGUGUAAAGGGAGCGCAGGCGGCCAGGCAAGCCAGGAGUGAAAGACCGGGGCCCAACCCCGGGACUGCUUUUGGAACUGCCGGGCUGGAGUGCAGGAGAGGCAGGCGGAAUUCCUAGUGUAGCGGUGAAAUGCGUAGAUAUUAGGAGGAACACCAGUGGCGGAGGCGGCCUGCUGGACUGUGACUGACGCUGAGGCUCGAAAGCGUGGGGAGCAAACAGG
Molecule: ribosomal RNA, 404 nt
Filed under: uncultured bacterium
Lineage: Bacteria
Description: bacterial SSU rRNA
Rfam family: Bacterial small subunit ribosomal RNA
Source: RNAcentral